CCUACACACGUGAUAUAACAAAAUGUCAAAAUCGUACAGUAUCCAACUUAAUAAAAGACCUAAAUAAAUUUUUAUUGGUGUACUCCUAUACUAUUUUUAAUUUUCUUGACCAAAAUAACCUUGUGCUAUGGUCAAUGGACCAGGACUUAGCAAAGGGUAUUAUAGUCUUUGGGAGUUAGUUUUGACUUUGGACCGAUCCGUUUUUACCAGGAGAUAUCGGAUAAGGAUUAUUUUCAGUUUUCCAACUCAGAUCGCAUAUUUCGAUGAGAUCCGAGGAGACUAGUUCAAGUGGUUAAUUGAUAUUCCUAAUUUUUAAGAAUGUUUCAUACUUUCGUGCAUGAACACUAGGUGAGUAAAUAAUCAAGGAAGAGGAAAGGUAAUGGUACCGAGGAGGGCUACAAGGCCGGGAGUGUCGAUACCGAUGGACUUGAACUUCUCAAGAACGACGGAGAUACUCUCGUUGUGGUCGGGAAGGUAAGACUCAAGCAUAUCAGUCCUGCUCUUACGUCCAUCUCUCCUUCCUGU
This is a long non-coding RNA of Brassica rapa (field mustard), 525 nucleotides long. RefSeq lists it as uncharacterized. The record is from RefSeq and is a predicted model, not a curated record. Lineage: Eukaryota; Viridiplantae; Streptophyta; Magnoliopsida; Brassicales; Brassicaceae.